GAAGCAGCCACGACUUAUAUCGCAGCAGCAGAUUAUCUGGUGGGCCUAAUCUAAUCACAUGAACCUUUUAAAAGCAAAGAGCUUUCUCAGACUGGUGACAGAGGAAAUGUCAGAGAGAUUCAAAGCACAAGGCCACUGCUACCUGAAGAUGGAGGGGAACACGUGCAAGGACUGGAGAGCUGCUUCUAGUUUCUGAAAACAACCGCUGGCAACAACCACCAGGAACUGAAUUCUGCCAACAAUCCAUCUGAGUUUGGAGGCAGACUCUUCUCCAGAGCCUUCAGAUAGGAGCCCAGCCUUGAUUUCAGCCUCAUGAGACCCUAAGCAGAAAACCCAGUCAAGCCCACCCAGAUUUCUGACCUACUGAACUGUGAGACAAUA
This 381-nucleotide long non-coding RNA is filed under the name Homo sapiens (human). RNAcentral describes it as "HSALNT0046870". The record is from RNAcentral. Lineage: Eukaryota; Metazoa; Chordata; Mammalia; Primates; Hominidae.